RNAcentral lists this ribosomal RNA (468 nucleotides) under uncultured bacterium. RNAcentral describes it as "bacterial SSU rRNA". It matches the Rfam family "Bacterial small subunit ribosomal RNA", at positions 328 to 793 of the family's 1533-position model. The record is from RNAcentral.
GUACCAGACUCCUACGGGAGGCAGCAGUGAGGAAUAUUGGUCAAUGGCCGCAGGGCUGAACCAGCCAAGUCGCGUGAGGGAUGACGGUCCUAUGGAUUGUAAACCUCUUUUGUCAGGGAGCAAAGGGCGCCACGUGUGGCGCUUUGCGAGUACCUGAAGAAAAAGCAUCGGCUAACUCCGUGCCAGCAGCCGCGGUAAUACGGAGGAUGCGAGCGUUAUCCGGAUUUAUUGGGUUUAAAGGGUGCGUAGGCGGUCUUGCAAGUCAGACGUGAAAACCACAGGCUCAACCUGUGGACUGCGUUUGAAACUGUGGGGCUUGAGUGAAGUAGAGGUAGGCGGAAUUCCCGGUGUAGCGGUGAAAUGCGUAGAGAUCGGGGGGAACACCAGUGGCGAAGGCGGCCUACUGGGCUUUAACUGACGCUGAGGCACGAAAGCGUGGGUAUCGAACAGGAUUAGAUACCCGGGUAA